GAAGAGGUGAGGUGAUGUAGGAGGGAGACUGGAGAGAUGGCGGAGUGAGGGGCUUCCGAGCUGUCAUGUGGAGAAGUAACGCGGGAUGUGCUCUACGUGGUCACGUGGAUUCGUCAAGGAUGAGGAUCUGCUGAUAAAGUGAGGAGCCAAUGAUGUCCAAGCAUCAGACUCUGCAGAGAAGAUGUAGCUGGAAGAAGACCUGGUGCCUGGACCAACAGAGAAGACAUCACUCAGAUCCGUGUAUGCAGAGGAUAACGGCAGAUUUGAUGGAUUACGGCGGAUGAACUGGAUUUUUUUUCCUUUUAAUAAAAUGGUUAACGAGGGCUGUGGGGUUGUGUUUAAAA
This is a long non-coding RNA of Hyla sarda, 344 nucleotides long. RefSeq lists it as uncharacterized. The transcript has 3 exons. The record is from RefSeq and is a predicted model, not a curated record. NCBI's taxonomy places the organism in Eukaryota, Metazoa, Chordata, Amphibia, Anura, Hylidae.